UACGGAGGGUGCAAGCGUUGUCCGGAUUUAUUGGGUUUAAAGGGUGCGUAGGCGGCCCGGUAAGUCAGUGGUGAAAGCCUCCAGCUCAACUGGAGAACUGCCAUUGAUACUGCCGGGCUUGAGUACAGACGAGGUUGGCGGAAUUGAUUGUGUAGCGGUGAAAUGCAUAGAUACAAUCAAGAACUCCGAUUGCGUAGGCAGCUAACUAGGCUGUAACUGACGCUGAGGCACGAAAGCGGUGGGGAGCGAACAGG
This 254-nucleotide ribosomal RNA is filed under the name uncultured bacterium. RNAcentral's name for it is "partial 16S ribosomal RNA". It matches the Rfam family "Bacterial small subunit ribosomal RNA", at positions 524 to 776 of the family's 1533-position model. The record is from RNAcentral.